AUUGAACGCUGGCGGCGUGCCUAACACAUGCAAGUCGAGCGGUAGCAGGCGUAGCAAUACGUGCUGACGAGCGGCGAACGGGUGAGCAAUGCUUCGGAAUCUGCCCAAUGGUGGGGAAUAACCAGCCGAAAGGUUGGCUAAUACCGCAUACGCCCUACGGGGGAAAGCAGGGGAUCGCAAGACCUUGCGCCGAUGGAUGAGCCGAAGUCGGAUUAGCUAGUUGGUAGGGUAACGGCCUACCAAGGCGACGAUCCGUAGCUGGUCUGAGAGGACGACCAGCCACACUGGGACUGAGACACGGCCCAGACUCCUACGGGAGGCAGCAGUGGGGAAUAUUGGACAAUGGGCGAAAGCCUGAUCCAGCGACGCCGCGUGUGUGAGAAGGCCUGCGGGUUGUAAAGUACGUUUUAGUGGGGUAU
This 419-nucleotide ribosomal RNA is filed under the name uncultured bacterium. Its description in RNAcentral is "bacterial SSU rRNA". It matches the Rfam family "Bacterial small subunit ribosomal RNA", at positions 29 to 448 of the family's 1533-position model. The record is from RNAcentral.